Pezoporus occidentalis (night parrot) is the source of this 2649-nucleotide long non-coding RNA. RefSeq lists it as uncharacterized. The transcript has 2 exons. Lineage: Eukaryota; Metazoa; Chordata; Aves; Psittaciformes; Psittacidae. The record is from RefSeq and is a predicted model, not a curated record.
GCACACCCUUGCCUGCUUGUUGUUGUUUUCUUCCUCCCCCCCCCAGCGACACGGCCGCCAGCGCCGCCGCCGAUUGGCUGGUUCCCGCCUGCCGCCGCAGCCAAUCGGCAGGCGGGGAUGGCGGCAAAAGACAGAAAGAAAACCUUUCUUGUUCAUGAAGACACUAAGUUGCAGACAUUUUCAAGUCAGGACACUUCAGCAUGCUCACACAGGACUUCUUUCAUAUGCAACCUAGAGGCAGCCUCAAAAGAUGUUGUUUCCCCAUCAAUCAAAAAGUAAUAUCUCAUUUGUUCUAUGCACCUCCAUUGCAUGUACCAAGCAAACAGAUCAUGGGAUCCAGCUUCCCUUGCAAGCCAGAAAAAGGGCUUUACAAAUGUUUUUCAGUGAAGGGGAAAUAGGUGGCAGAGAAACUGAAACAAAACUAACCAGAACCUGCACCAGAGAAGAUGCCACAAAAUACCAAAUCAGUGCAUCAUGCCAGUUAUACAUUUUAAAGCACCCUGGAAAACUGCUAGAGGAUUUUCUGGUAAAAUUUAGGACUGGAUCACUUCCAAGAGGCCCAAAAGCUGGGUCAGUGAUCAAAAGAAGAUUAAAACCCCUGAACCAUCCAGCAUACUUCCAGAUAAGAAAAUGAUGUGGUUUUCCUUUCUUCUGCUGAAUUUCUUUAUUAGCAGCUGGGUUAUUAAUCACUGAAAAUCUAGUCUAGAUUUGACUGUGCAUAUUAUCUGAUCUGUAAUACACUGUGACCUGAAAAGGGUCUGAUGUGCAUGACAGAUUUUUUGUAUUUUUCCAUUGUUAUCAACCAGUCUGCUCAAAGAUAUCACCUCUUUUUGCCUUUCUAACCUCAAAACCACCUGCAAUAUUAUAAAGACAGCUGAUCAUAUGCUGAUCUCUGAGCUGUAGAGCCCUGCUUCCUCUCUCCCAGCCUCCCUACCCCAGCCAUAUUAAUAGCAAACAUACCACCAAAAUCCUCAUAAAAACAAAAGAGCAGAUUUUCUCCUCACAUAGAAAAAGAAACCACCCUCUUUUGACCAUUUCUGGCCAAUUUGCAGCUUGAGACAACCCAUGCGGGCUGUGCAGCUCAGCAUCCUCUCCGCAGCACCUGCAUCCCGGGUUUACCUGCACCCAGGACCUCCUCCGCUCCAACCUGUGCCAAGGGGGACCCGCCAGCAGCUCCCACCCUUAACGCCGCCAGUCACCUGGAGCAGAAUGCUUGCACCGAGGCGAGCAGGUCACUUUCUAGCUGCCUUCCUUCCUUAGAGCCUGCUGGGUUGUUUUCAAACUCUCCCCUCCCUUUCUCACAUGCUGGCCAAGCCCUCUUGUAACACCCAGGGGAGGAAUCCAUUGGCUGAAGUUCCCCAAAACACGUGGAGCAGCCCUUCCCCCUAUCCAAUCUCUAGUUCACAAUAGACACAGGGUGUCUCCAGGCUGCCCUGGACAGUUUGCUGCUGGCCUUUGCUUUUCAUCAAGGUUUAUCUGAGCUGCAGCUGCCAUGACUCACACAGGUCCCUGACCUCCGGCACCGAAGAGAGCAGAGAAGAGCAGAGAGAAAUGGUGUUAGGUUAGAAACAUCACAGAUCAUUCUCAUUGCGCUCCCCUGGCUGUGGGUUUCUCAAAGUUUUACUUUCUGUUUUAAAUAUUUUCGAUAGGCAGCAUCUGUGCUCCUGACACCUCAGCAGUGCUGUUUGAUUACAGUCGAGUCUGUUACUGUGCCACUUGGAAUAUAAAUUGCCACACAUAAUGCACACGGCAAAAAAUAUAUCGUAUCUGUUAAAUCAAUCUGCUCUGUUCAGUUGCCUGUCUCUUGGCCUUCUGCUUUCUCUUCCUUCAGCCUACUUUUAUUUUUGCAUCUUCUGCAAAGGUGCCUUCAUAAAAUGAACUGCAAGCACAGCAAUCCCAUUCUUCAGGAGGCAGCGUCAGCCCCAGGUUGAAAGGAUAGUAAAUCAUGCCUUUGCUGUUUUUUAAUGCUCAGUAAUUAGAGUUGCUUUUGAACAUCCUCCUGCAGCUCCAUCCAUGAGCUGGGAACAAGACUGUGCUGCAGACCUGUGUGUGCAGUGCCUGUCAAGACUGGGAACCCUUUGGAGGGGUGGAAGGGGGUCACCAUACGGUUGCCUGAACAUGGAGACUGAAGUGUCACCCACUGUGAUGGCUUUGGAUAGCACUUUCCCAAACCGCAGCUUGCCUGUCUUUGUUGUGGCUUUCCAGGACUUGCCCCUCACAUUGCACAAAAAGCCUUCCCUCUUCACAUUUCUGAGUACACCCUUCUGGCAGAAGUGUUAGAAUUGGGUUUGCUCUGUAAAACUGUUCCAGGCAUGUCUCCUCUGUGCUGCAGUUGUCAUCUGUUCAUUCUUGCCUUAACAAAAGGCAACCACGCAUCUGAAAAGAAGCUUUACUGGAAAGGGCUGAACUUGUGAAAUGUGCAGAAAAAUGGGAGUGCUUGAUUUAAGAGAUCCAGACAGUGAGUUCAUUUAAGAGCUAACAACCAGAAACAUGAAAUACCGCCUUUACCUCAGAAUAAUUGUCCUUUUUUACUGGUUCACUGUGGGAGAAAAUCCUAGGGAACCGUUUAUUAAAGCAAGGUGUGUUAUUGCCUUGUAAUUAUUAUUUGACAAGCUGAGGUCUUGUGAUUAAUAAAUCAUGUGCCUGCUU